UAGAAAUGCUAAAAGCUUCACGCAUUGUUUAAGUACUGGAACUGAGGACAUCAGCUCGCUGAGGACAGGAGCCAGUGGUGAGACAGAGCCUGGAAGAAAAAGACGGGCCUGGAAGGCAAAGCGUGGUCCUUGCCCACGGUGGAACCCUGCCAAGUGGACUAGGAAGAGAUGGGGGCUGAGCUGCCUUCUGGGGAAGGUAAGGUGACCGCAGCUCAGAGAGGCUGAGUAGCUUCCCCAGGAUCACACAGCUGGGGAGUGAAGGAGCCCACACUCGCCACCCCAAACUGCCUCUCUACAUGCACAAGCCUUCUCUGAGGAUCCUGAAGGAAACUGAAUUUACUCACCAGCAUUGGAACAUUCCAUCUGCUGAGUCACACUCACUUCUCUUAUCAUCAUUAACCCUGCGUAGGGGCUCCUGGCGCCAGAAGGAGCAACCCAAAGCUCUUCGUCUUGGGGGCUGGGGAGGAAGAUGGUGCACCCUGGACAACCCUCAGAGGAGGAGAAAAUCACCGGCUCCCAAUUUGGGCAGCGAAUCAGAAGCAGCAUGGAUUCACUGCCUUUUGAAAUAGUGAAACUACCGUCAUUGGAGAAAGGCGAACUGUGGUUAGGCGACCUGGGAUUCCUCCGCUGGGAGAGAGGUUGAACUAGGUGAACUUGAAGGUUUCAUGCAAGGAAAGAGAAGUUAGCUGAUAUUUAUGUAGACCAGCUUCUAGAUUGACACUAAGUACAAAGCUAAUGUGUAUUUACUAUGGCUUUAAUCUAUACUGAUUAAGAAUGUCUCAUUUAUUCACCUGCACCUCAUGUUUUACUUGGCAUGUAUCUUUAUUAUAGUUAAUAUAAAUAUCACAUUAGCUGCUUACAGAACAUAUAGAAUUUGCUGUCCUGAGUUUAUUUACAAGUUAGUACCUCAUUUAUGAGACUUUUUACCCCUUGAGAACAUCCGCCUUCUUCUUGAAAACUGUGACUGGUUCAUUAUAAACAUAUAUUCGUAUAAUGGAGUUAAUGGGGUUAUCAUCUGUUUAUCUCUUUUAAUUAGGCCCUGAUUUGCCCAAACAAUUUCAGUUACUUUCUUGAUUACAGUUGGAGGAGCAUGUGGUUUGGUGUGGGCUUGGUAAAGAGCUGCUGUCUGCUUCUCUAAAUCCACGUAUAGUAUCAUAUGUUCAGGCUGAGUUAAUAUUUGAUAUGUGAGUUGUUCCCUUAUCUUGUUAGAUACUCUUGAUAAAAGAAUUCCCACUCAUGAAUUUUCAUGGAUAUACCUCUGGAAAGGAAUUGAGAAAAAUAAAUGUUGUGCUAUUUGGAAAGGUUGGGAGACACGUUGCAAUCGAG
RNAcentral lists this long non-coding RNA (1326 nucleotides) under Homo sapiens (human). RNAcentral's name for it is "HSALNT0277672". Lineage: Eukaryota; Metazoa; Chordata; Mammalia; Primates; Hominidae. The record is from RNAcentral.